Molecule: transfer RNA, 76 nt
Filed under: Candidatus Wolfebacteria bacterium CG03_land_8_20_14_0_80_40_12
Lineage: Bacteria; Candidatus Wolfeibacteriota
Description: tRNA-Glu
Rfam family: tRNA
About the family: Transfer RNA (tRNA) molecules are approximately 80 nucleotides in length. Their secondary structure includes four short double-helical elements and three loops (D, anti-codon, and T loops).
Source: RNAcentral
GCCCUUAUCGUCUAGUGGUUCAGGACACUAGGUUCUCAUCCUAGAAACCGGGGUUCGAUUCCCCGUGAGGGCGCCA